ACAGAAACCACUGAAGACAAUACCUGGAAAAUGGCAGUUUUGGAAAUAACUUUGGCUGUCAUCCUGACUCUACUGGGACUUGCCAUUCUGGCUAUUUUAUUAACAAGAUGGACACGGCGCAAGCAAAAUGAAAUUGAUGUCUCAAGAUACAGUUCAGAACAAAGU
This is a long non-coding RNA of Lontra canadensis (Northern American river otter), 165 nucleotides long. RefSeq lists it as uncharacterized. The transcript is spliced from 3 exons. The record is from RefSeq and is a predicted model, not a curated record. NCBI's taxonomy places the organism in Eukaryota, Metazoa, Chordata, Mammalia, Carnivora, Mustelidae.